AUUUGUGUUCUCAAGAGUGACGGAUAUAAUUUACGGUAAAUUUGCUGCGUGCAUUUUGUGGCCUUUCUUGUGAACGGUGUGUACGGAAAACAGCAAGCAAGCAAAUUUAGCAUAGCAGCUGUGUGUAUAGCGGCCUGCACGAAAAGUAGCAGCAGCCGACCGCAAAAGCAAGAAGAAAAAAAAAACAACAAUACACUCUUCUCCGCGAAAAGUAAGAAAAACGUAGUGAUUGUUGCUACCUUUUGUGUUUGCAAAAAUUCCAAAUAUAUAAAUUGCACACUACUGUGUGUAUCAUGUAUCGAUGAUUUAUUUACUCGAUGAAUUCUCCUGAAUAAAAUAUUCCGAUAAUUCCUCAAAACAAAACAAAAUGACUACUAAAAAACUAAAAUAGUGCUUGUACUCACCUUAAAAAUACAACAACACUUUUGCUAAAAAAGAUAAUUAGUAAACAGUUAUUAUUGUUAAGAUGCAAAUAUAUUUGAAAAUGAAAAAUACAAUUUAAAAUCCAACAAAAAGUUGUGCACAACACGCUGCACAAACUUUUUAUAUUGUAUCUAACUAACAACAAAGAAAAAUAGUGCUUAAUAGUGUAGAAAUAUAGUAAAAAAUGCAGAAUUUAAUAAAAAUGCCUCAAAAUACAGUAAACAUGAGAAAAUAGUGGGAAAACAAAAAAGGAGUAGAAAUUGGAAAAAGUAGUAGAAAAUGAGUGAAUUGUAAAAGAGUAGUAGAAAGUUAGAAAAUUGUGCAAAGUUACGAAAACACCAGCAUGCAUUGCAAUUACGCAUGUAAAAUCAGUUUUACAACAUUAGUUGUAAAUUUAGUUUCAAUUGAGUAAAUAAACAAAACCAACAACAAUAAUAGAAAUAAACAAACCAACAAAAAAAUAAAAAAUAAAAUAAACGUAUUAAGUGUAAGUUAAUGAAUAUUAAAAUUUACAAUCAGCAUUCAAUACCAACUGACAACUAUGUAAAUGAUGCGCAUCUGAAAUAACAACAACAGAAAAGCUUAUGCAACUGUGUAGCUGCAGCCAUUAGAAUAACAACAAACCGUGUCAGUCUGUGUGUGUGUGUGCAUUAGCAAAGGCAUCAAGCACAAUAAGCUGACAAUAAAAUCUACACAACAACAACAACAGCAACAACUAAAUACCACCAAGAAACAAAAAUUGCAUUUAUCAUACUAACUUUCGGCUGGUAGCAGCAAGCAGCACAAACGACGUUGGAGCUUUGCAAUUAAUUAGUAACUGCCAAUAGACGAGCAAAAGCCAUAUUUAAUAUAAACAACAACAACAAAUAGAUUUGUAGUAACAACAGCAGCAACAACAAGCAAUAUCAACAAUAUGAUUGCAAUGUGGAGAUACUUUUUAAUCGGUAAGAUCCUUCAGCUAGAUGCGUCCAACGUGCUCUGGUUAAUUAAAAAUACCUAACUAAAAUAAGCACUAAAAGAGUUUUGGUGCAUAAAUUUAUGUAUGUAUGUAUACAAAUCCUAAAAAAUAAUUUCAUAUACCCAAAUUUUGUUUCCUACUUUGCUUUAACAAACAAAAAAAAAAGAUGAAAAUUUUUUGAAUUCAAAUAACUAAAGUUUUUUUUCUACAACUGAAAUGUGAGUUUUACAUGAGACACACCAUUGUAACUGUAAGCAUGGCAGCAAAUAGUUGACCCUAAAUCUAUUAUAGAAACGCAUAAAUUAGAAGUUUUAAUUCUUUUAGUUUUUAUGGUUAUUUUAAUUUUUAACUUUAACAAAAGUGUGCCACAAAAACAAACACUAAUCCUCUCUCACUAUGAUAAUAACAAGAGCAAAAGUGUUGUACAAUAAUAAAAUAAGAGUUUAAGUGUUAGUAGCCCACUAACAGGCUGACUGGCUGACUGCCUGAACCGCCACGCCGUCGACCGCAUCGCAGUGUGAAGCAGCAUUUAACACCAAUGACCACAUUAGAAUGUUAGGUGAAAAUUUUUGUUGUUGUUGCUGGUAUUUAUUCUUUUUUACACGCAGUUGACCGCUUCCACACAUUAACGCCUCGGCCAACAACAAUAGCAACAAUAACAGCAACGGAAAAUUUGGUCAACGAACCCAACAGUAGCAACAACAAUAGCAACAAAUUGCUUGGCAGCAGUCGCACCGCAAUACAUUCGAAACAAGCGAGUAGACCAGACCGAUUGUAGUAAGCUGAGCUUGCCACUAAAUGUGUCCUGUGCUGCUGUGUCUGACACCAUACGUGCACCAUUUGUGUGUUCUUGUUGCGCGCAGUUGUUGUACCCGGUCAAGUAUUCUAAAUGUAUUUAGGUAUAUAUAAGGAAAUGCAAAACUUUUUGGCAACAAAGUUGAUGUUCUGAGUGUUUUUUUUUUUUCAUUUUGUAAGUGACAAUGUCGAGGGCUGGUCGGUUUUAUCGGCGCUCUGACUUUUGGCUACAAUUUGUGCGCUUGUGAGGUCAGCUACGUGUGUGGGUGUUAAGUAAAAGUAAAACUUUUCAUGUAGCUCAAUGCCCUUUUACACGGAAUACCGUGAAAAUGUCCUAAAAGGUUGGUCAGAAAAAAAAAGAAAAAAAACUUUUUAUCAAAAAGGUUACCCCCAAAUGUGGUGUGGUAACAACUACAUAUACUCUUUUUUCGCUGAGGUUUAUUGUGUUGGUUUGCGUAACAUAAUUGGUGCGUUGCCAUCACACAAGUUCCAUAUACACAAUUUCGUAUUAACAAAAUAUAUAUAUAUAUAUAUAUAUAUAUAUAAAUUGAGUUCUUCCGGUUGACUUGCCAAAAAUGUUGCUAGUUCCACCGGCUCCACCGCAAAAUUCAGCAAUGUAUUGUUAUUGUUGUUGUGCUUUUUAUACUUCAAUUCUACAAACUUAUUUAACAUUUCCACUUCUAUUCAUAUAAUUUACUUUACUAUUAUUACUCUUUUCGCAAUAUAAUUUUCAUAUCCUUACUUUUUUGUUGCCAUUAUUGCUCUACAAGUACAGAAGAACUGCAGCUAUAAAAGUUUCGCCUGCAGCAACAUAAUUCAGUAAACAAAAAUUAAUGUGGUGCUGCAUGAAUUCUAGAAAAAAUAAUAAAAAUAAUCAAAAAAAAAAUAACAAAGAAAAUUUUCCUACUUUUUGUGACCCACUUGAGAGGCUCAUAACCAACAGGCGAAUACAUACAUACAUACAAAUGUAGUAACAUAUUUAUACAUCAUUUACUAACUUUCACUUGCCGCCAAAUAUUAUAGUUGCCAGCGCUUGCCUCGUCUCAGCAAAAAAAUAAUAAUAAUAAUAUAAUAUAUGUAAAUAAAAAAUAAAUAAAAUUACUUAAACAAAAGCGUUCAAACACAUGCAUACAUACAUGCACGAGUAUGCCCUUUCCCUCACAGUCGAAAAAGUUUUAAUUCCGCAAAACUUGCUGUCGGAAAUUAAAUUCACAAUUGUAUUCAUCAUGGUUAAUUACUUCUGAGCCAAUGAGAGGUGGUGCGGUGGUUUGUUAGCAAGUCUACUCCCAUUAAAAUAUGUGCGGCAAGGAGGGAAAUCCCGAGAAAGAAUUAAAACACUUGAACUUUGGUUAAUUAGCAUAAAGUAUUCUUUGUCCAUUGACGUGCCUAUGUAGUCCUUCGUAUGCAUAAAAACAAGAACUUUGUUCUUAGUUUACCAAUUUUAUAUUAUUUAAAGUUCAAAAUAAAAUAAAUAAAACUGA
Ceratitis capitata (Mediterranean fruit fly) is the source of this 3657-nucleotide long non-coding RNA. RefSeq lists it as uncharacterized. Lineage: Eukaryota; Metazoa; Arthropoda; Insecta; Diptera; Tephritidae. The record is from RefSeq and is a predicted model, not a curated record. The transcript is spliced from 3 exons.